ACUUUUUGAAACUUUAGUCAACUUCAGUAUCGUCGCGAAGGCAGGCAUCAGUCUUUGCAAAACUUUUUUAAUGGCGACAGUGUUUUGUUACUAAUAGUGAUUGUUUUUUGUGCAUAAGAAUCAAAUUGGAUUAGUGACUGUUCUACAUAGGAAUUUGAGAAAGUUUUGAAUAGAAUGGAGGUGGAACCUCGGGUGGCCAUUUUGCAGGACCUCAGACUACAGUCGUUUGACGCAAUAAGGUUUGCAUCGUACAGAACCGCAUCAAAAUUGCGGUACAUUCAAAAAUCGACAAAUCUUCACCUUGUCGACAUAUGGAACGUCAUCGAGGCAUUCCGGGAGAAUGGUCUGAAUACGCUCGAACCGCAAAGUGAAGUUAGCGUGGCACGACUGGAAACGUUGGUGUCGUCAUUAUACCACAAUUUAAACAAACGUCUUCCGACAAGAGAUCAAGUUCCUGUCGAUUCUAAAGCUGGACUUUUAUUAAAUUGGCUGAUAUCUGCUUAUUCGAAUGACAAUUCUGGCAAAAUUCGUGUGUUCUCCAUCAAAGUAGCAUUGGCAAUUAUGUGUUCCGGUAAACUUGUAGAUAAACUAAGGUACAUAUUCUCCCAAAUUUCCGAUGGUGCCGGUCAACUUGUACAAUGGAAGCUCUGUGAGUUUCUACGAGAAAUUCUGGCACUUCCGGCUGCUGUAUAUGAAUCGCCGACUUUCCAUUACAAAGACGGACUGGAGAGUGAAAUGUUUUCGUUGGACUCACGUGUAACCGUAAAUGAUUUCAUCGGUGUUCUAGUGAAUGAACCAGGACCUCCAAAUUUGGUCUGGCUUCCUCUGUUACAACGGCUGGCAACCGUUGAAUCGAUAGUCCAUCCAAUUAUAUGCUCUGUAUGCCACAAAGAAAAUUUCUCAGGUUUCCGUUACCGUUGUACGCGUUGCAAUUCUUACCAAUUAUGUCAAGAGUGUUUCUGGCACGGACGAGUUUCACUCAGCCAUCAGAAUGAUCACGAAGUGAAGGAAUAUACGAGUUAUAAAUCACCAACCAAACAAAUCGGACAUUCGUUACGCAAGAGUUUUCGAUGCGUACCAGAGAAGUCGAACCAUGUGCUUCCUAGGUUUCCAGAGCAGCCAGAAAAGACAUUAAACCUAUCGCAUAUUGUUCCUCCGUCUCCACUUCCAUCGCAUAACGGAUUCGAAUCGGGAUUGCUAGCACCAUUCGACCGAAGUAGUACACUGGAUUCGCGAGCAACCGGCCGUUCAUUAGACAGUGCAGGCGCUUCACUAAAUCGAGCUAGCACUUCCAACGAUGAAGAACACCGUUUAAUUGCUCGAUAUGCUGCACGCUUGGCUCAAGAGAGUCGAACUCCAGCGUCAUCAUCCGAAAAUGCUUCCCUGGCACCAGACAAUUCACAGGCUCAGCGUCAACUGAUAGCCCAACUAGAAUCAAAGAACAAGGAGAUUAUGAGAGAAAUUGCGCGUUUGAGACGGCAACAAGAAGCAGAACAAUUGAAUCAAGAAAGUCCAGCGUUAAUGAAUGAACUGCGUGCAUUAAGACAACGAAAGGGUGAAUUGGAGGGACACUUGGGUGCUUUGCAAGACUCGAGACGACAAUUAAUGGUGCAAUUAGAAGGUCUGAUGCGCAUGCUCAAAAGUCAACAGACAUCAAGUCCCCGAUCAACACCGAAUUCUAGUCCUCGUUCCGGAAAAAGUCCUCCAAUGCCGCAAGGACCCCAACAACAACAACAGAUUAGAAACCAAAUGCCACCACAUUCGGGACAAAUUUCACAGGGAACUAGUAAUCAUUCUGAUCAAACCAGUGGUGGCUUUGCUCCUCAAAAUGGAAGUGUGAGAGGACGAGGUGACCUGCAUUUUGCUGCCGAUUCAGUUACAUCCGCAAUGUCAACGCUGGUCAGAGAACUUAAUUCCGGAGAAUCGGACGAAGAAACUUCGAACAAUGUGCGGAAACAAAUAGUUGAACCAUUGAACCAACACAACCCGGCCAUAUAAAUAAUUUCAACUCAAUUUUCCAUUCAAUUUUAGACUUUGAGGAGUCGAAGGGAUUACAACAAGACUGGAACGAUAUGGGCAACGCCAACACACAAUGGCAAGAGCAAUUCGCUCAAUGGAAUAUAAAUAAUCAAAAUUAAAAAGCUAUUGAGUAUAGAUGAUGAGUGAAACGAAAUGUUAAGUAUUUGCAGUUAGAAGUUGGUUUUUGUCUUAAUUUUGUCAAAGUUAGUGAAGCAUAUGUUCUGUUGUCUAGUUUGGUAGGCGAAAAUUUGCAUUUAGAAUGUUUUAUAAAAUGAAAAAAAAAUAAUCAAAUUUUAAAUGUUACAUCCGUUAAAUUGACAUCGAAAGCGACGAGUUGUUAAUCCGUUGAUGUGCGAUAAUCUUUUGAUCAUCACUGUGUUAGCGUGAAAAAUUCAACGAAUAAAUUGAUGUUUUCGAAUUUUGAUUCAUUGUGCAAUUUCCAUGCAUUAACGAUUAGGCUGAGAGGCAGUGUGUGAAUUAGCCCCUUGUACGUUUACGGUUUGAAGUCGAUUUUCUGUUUGAGUCUUAACUCAAUUCGAAAAACAUUUGUUCUACCAGUUUUGAGUAUCUUAGCACUCAUACAUUGUAGAAAAUUGACAUGAAAUUGAAGGUAUUGAUCACAAAUGACAAUUGAAA
Bradysia coprophila is the source of this 2655-nucleotide unclassified non-coding RNA. NCBI's taxonomy places the organism in Eukaryota, Metazoa, Arthropoda, Insecta, Diptera, Sciaridae. The record is from RefSeq and is a predicted model, not a curated record.